GGAAUAUUGGUCAAUGGGCGAGAGCCUGAACCAGCCAAGUCGCGUGAGGGAAGACUGCCCUAUGGGUUGUAAACCUCUUUUGACGGGGGAUAAAGUGCGGGACGUGUCCCGUAUUGCAGGUACCCGUCGAAUAAGGAUCGGCUAACUCCGUGCCAGCAGCCGCGGUAAUACGGAGGAUCCGAGCGUUAUCCGGAUUUAUUGGGUUUAAAGGGUGCGCAGGCGGCCUGUUAAGUCAGCGGUGAAAUCUCGGGGCUCAACCCCGGAACUGCCGUUGAUACUGGUAGGCUUGAGGGCGGAUAAGGAUGGUGGAAUGUGUCAUGUAGCGGUGAAAUGCUUAGAUAUGCCACAGAACACCGAUUGCGAAGGCAGCUGUCCGGGCCGUAACUGACGCUGAGGCACGAAAGCGUGGGUAUCGAACA
RNAcentral lists this ribosomal RNA (419 nucleotides) under uncultured bacterium. RNAcentral's name for it is "bacterial SSU rRNA". It matches the Rfam family "Bacterial small subunit ribosomal RNA", at positions 358 to 774 of the family's 1533-position model. The record is from RNAcentral.